GAUGAACGCUGGCGGCGUGCCUAAUACAUGCAAGUCGAGCGAACGGACGAGAAGCUUGCUUUUCUGAUGUUAGCGGCGGAAGGGAGAGUAACACGUGGAUAACCUACCUAUAAGACUGGGAUAACUUCGGGAAACCGGAGCUAAUACCGGAUAAUAUUUUGAAUCGCAUGGUUCAAAAGUGAAAGACGGUCUUGCUGUCCCUUAUCGAUGGAUCCGCGCUGCAUUAGCUAGUUGGUAAGGUAACGGCGUACCAAGGCAACGAUGCAUAGCCGACCUGAGAGGGGGAGCGGCCACACUGGAACUGAGACACGGUACAGAGUCCUACGGGAGGCAGCAGUAGGGAAUCUUCAGCAAUGGGCGAAAGCCAGACGGAGCAACGCCGCGUGAGUGAUGAAGGUCUUCGGAUCGUAAAACGCUGUUAUUAGGGAAGAACAUAUGUGUAAGUAACUGUGCACAACUUGACGGUACCUAAUCAGAAAGCCACGGCUAACUACGUG
RNAcentral lists this ribosomal RNA (497 nucleotides) under uncultured bacterium. RNAcentral's name for it is "partial 16S ribosomal RNA". It matches the Rfam family "Bacterial small subunit ribosomal RNA", at positions 28 to 507 of the family's 1533-position model. The record is from RNAcentral.